RNAcentral lists this ribosomal RNA (420 nucleotides) under Fusobacteriota bacterium. RNAcentral describes it as "Fusobacteria bacterium partial 16S ribosomal RNA". It matches the Rfam family "Bacterial small subunit ribosomal RNA", at positions 355 to 776 of the family's 1533-position model. Lineage: Bacteria; Fusobacteriati; Fusobacteriota. The record is from RNAcentral.
UGGGGGAUAUUGCUCAAUGGGCGAAAGCCUGAUGCAGCGACGCCGCGUGGGGGAUGAAGGCCUUCGGGUUGUAAACUUCUUUUGCUCUGAACAAGGCAUGCCUUUGGGGUGUGUUGAGUGUAGGGGUUGAUUAGCGCCGGCUAACUACGUGCCAGCAGCCGCGGUAAUACGUAGGGCGCGAGCGUUGUCCGGAAUUAUUGGGCGUAAAGGGCUUGUAGGUGGCUGGUUGCGUCUGUCGUGAAAGCUCAUGGCUUAACUGUGGGUUUGCGGUGGGUACGAGCUGGCUUGGGUGCAGUAGGGGAGGCUGGAAUUCCUGGUGUAGCGGUGGAAUGCGCAGAUAUCAGGAGGAAUACCGGUGGCGAAGGCGGGUCUCUGGGCUGUUACUGACGCUGAGGAGCGAAAGCGUGGGGAGCGAACAGG